CGCAUUUAUUAGACCAAAACCAACCGGCUUUUGCCGUUGCUUGGUGAAUCUGAAUAACUACGUAAAUCGCACAGUCAAAGAACUGGCGAUAAGUCUUUCAAGUGUCUGCCUUAUCAACUUUCGAUGGUAGUUUAUAUGCCUACCAUGGUAAUAACGGGUAACGGAGAAUUAGGGUUCGACUCCGGAGAGGGAGCCUGAGAAAUGGCUACCACAUCCAAGGA
Molecule: ribosomal RNA, 221 nt
Filed under: Gammanema sp. 1 JAL-2013
Lineage: Eukaryota; Metazoa; Nematoda; Chromadorea; Chromadorida; Selachinematidae
Description: partial 18S ribosomal RNA
Rfam family: Eukaryotic small subunit ribosomal RNA
Source: RNAcentral